Molecule: long non-coding RNA, 295 nt
Filed under: Mytilus galloprovincialis (Mediterranean mussel)
Lineage: Eukaryota; Metazoa; Mollusca; Bivalvia; Mytilida; Mytilidae
Source: RNAcentral
AAAAGUAUAAAGGACCACUGACUGUAUUAUAGAUUAAAGUAUAUUUCUAUGACAUGGAAAAGUCUCAAAUCUUAACAAAUAAAAGCUAACACGACAAUAACAAUUAACACUUUUGGACGUAGUUAGUUAUAAAUGCAACACUGAUGUAUAUUGAUAUUGUAUUGUUUGUUGCACAAAACCAAUUAAGACUAUAGAUUAAGAACGGUAACACUGUAUAAUUUAAAAAAAUCAAACAUGUAAGAACCAUGGAAUAGACACCCAUCAUGUUUGUUAGUCAAAAUCCGGUACACAGGCA